GAGGGUGUAGCUCCAAUAGAUAGAGCGGCAGGCCUGCUAAGUCUGCGUCACAGUAUAUGGCCGCUAAUGCGGUUGUGCGGGUAAGAACCCCGUCAUCCUCGCCA
RNAcentral lists this transfer RNA (104 nucleotides) under Agrobacterium salinitolerans. Its description in RNAcentral is "tRNA-Ser". It matches the Rfam family "tRNA". Rfam says of the family: Transfer RNA (tRNA) molecules are approximately 80 nucleotides in length. The record is from RNAcentral. Lineage: Bacteria; Pseudomonadati; Pseudomonadota; Alphaproteobacteria; Hyphomicrobiales; Rhizobiaceae.